GAUGAAGAACGUAGCGAAUUGCGAUAAGUAAUGUGAAUUGCAGAUUUUCAGUGAAUCAUCGAAUCUUUGAACGCACAUUGCGCCCCCUGGUAUUCCGGGGGGCAUGCCUGUCCGAGCGUCAUUGCUGCCCUCAAGCACGGCUUGUGUGUUGGGCCUCCGUCCUCCUCCCGGGGGACGGGCCCGAAAGGCAGCGGCGGCACCGCGUCCGGUCCUCGAGCGUAUGGGGCUUCGUCACCCGCUCUUGUAGGCCCGGCCGGCGCUUGCCGACACAUCAAUCUUUUUUCCAGGUUGACCUCGGAUCAGGUAGGGAUACCCGCUGAACUUAAGCAUAUCAAUAGCGGAGGA
RNAcentral lists this unclassified non-coding RNA (345 nucleotides) under soil metagenome. Its description in RNAcentral is "partial contains 5.8S ribosomal RNA, internal transcribed spacer 2, and large subunit ribosomal RNA". The stretch from base 1 to 121 matches the Rfam family "5.8S ribosomal RNA", at positions 35 to 154 of the family's 154-position model. The record is from RNAcentral.